RNAcentral lists this ribosomal RNA (724 nucleotides) under Paenibacillus susongensis. RNAcentral describes it as "bacterial SSU rRNA". It matches the Rfam family "Bacterial small subunit ribosomal RNA", at positions 56 to 769 of the family's 1533-position model. The record is from RNAcentral. Lineage: Bacteria; Bacillati; Bacillota; Bacilli; Caryophanales; Paenibacillaceae.
UGCAGUCGAGCGGAGUUAUUCCUUCGGGGAUAACUUAGCGGCGGACGGGUGAGUAACACGUAGGCAACCUGCCUGUAAGAUCGGGAUAACUACCGGAAACGGUAGCUAAGACCGAAUAAUCAGCUUGGUCGCAUGAUCGAGCUGGGAAAAGCGGAGCAAUCUGCUACUUACAGAUGGGCCUGCGGCGCAUUAGCUAGUUGGUGGGGUAACGGCUCACCAAGGCGACGAUGCGUAGCCGACCUGAGAGGGUGAACGGCCACACUGGGACUGAGACACGGCCCAGACUCCUACGGGAGGCAGCAGUAGGGAAUCUUCCGCAAUGGACGCAAGUCUGACGGAGCAACGCCGCGUGAGUGAUGAAGGUUUUCGGAUCGUAAAGCUCUGUUGCCAGGGAAGAACGCUUGGGAGAGUAACUGCUCUCAAGGUGACGGUACCUGAGAAGAAAGCCCCGGCUAACUACGUGCCAGCAGCCGCGGUAAUACGUAGGGGGCAAGCGUUGUCCGGAAUUAUUGGGCGUAAAGCGCGCGCAGGCGGCUUUGUAAGUCUGGUGUUUAAACCUAGGGCUCAACCCUGGGUCGCAUUGGAAACUGCAAGGCUUGAGUGCAGAAGAGGAGAGUGGAAUUCCACGUGUAGCGGUGAAAUGCGUAGAGAUGUGGAGGAACACCAGUGGCGAAGGCGACUCUCUGGGCUGUAACUGACGCUGAGGCGCGAAAGCGUGGGGAGC